This 6507-nucleotide long non-coding RNA is filed under the name Heterocephalus glaber (naked mole-rat). RNAcentral describes it as "lncRNA (ENSHGLG00000036382.1)". Lineage: Eukaryota; Metazoa; Chordata; Mammalia; Rodentia; Bathyergidae. The record is from RNAcentral.
GGGACUGAACUCAGGACCUUGCAUUUGCCAGGCAGGCAUGGUGCCAGUGAGUUACAUCCCCAGUCCUCAAUUCUUUUUUUUAUACCCCCCUUCCCUCUCUUUCUUUCCCUUCCCUCUAUUUCUCAUCCCUUUCAUCCAUUUGAUAAAGAUUUCCUUACUUUCUAUUUAUCUAUCUUCUAUUUUGCUCUCUCUUUCUCUCUCUGUGUGUGUGUGUGUGUGCAUUGAAUUUCUUAUCUAAGAAUAUUUAGAUAGUUAUAUGCAAUAUAAUUGCAUUUUAAAUUUUUUGUGGUGUGGUCUACAGGCAUUGACCAGACUGCCAAACAAACUCAAAAGCCCAAAAAGGGUUAAGGAGACUAACUUUUUAGUGGUGGAAUUUAUGGAACUAUGUAGGAGGGAUUUUGCUACAGGAUUUAUACACAUUGUCUCACUUUAUCCUCCAUACCAUUCUGUAUGGUUAGGAUUAAUGUCCCAAGGUCAUGCUGAUAUAAUCCAUGCUCUUAACCAUUAUGCAAUCCAGCCUUCCCAGGGCAGAGAUGGGACAGGAAUUAUCCUCUGGAUAUUAGACCAUGAUAGAUACCCUGGGGGCAUGUUCAACGAUAAAGCCAUCCUAUUUAGAAGCAUGGAAAUUGAAUGGCUGCUUUCUGCUCUAAGAGAUCGUAUUUAUGUAUAAAUAAAUGUAAUUAUUUAUGAGUCUCUGUUUCCCCUAACUCUGAACUGGGUACCUAUUCCUUCACCUAAAUCCCACUUUCCUCCCAUGGCCAGAACCCUAGGGAGGUUCACUAACUUCUGGAACAUUUUCUGGUGCCCUCCUAAAUACUUUCUGUUGCUUUUACUCUCUAUUGCUGUUACGUACAAAUGUACAUUACUCAUUGUAUGCUUUCUAGGACCAAAUUCUAGUCAUAUGCCUAUUUUGGUAAAGUUGGAUUUUAUCACCUUGAUACUCUAAUGUUUCAGAAUGGCUGAACCUAGUCACUGAAGAUCUUUUCUUCAGUUUUUUCAGAGACUUUGGCAAGCACAGAGGUGACUUUGAUAGCUUACAAUCUCUACGUCUCAUAAAUACAGGUAAGUGGUAGCCGCCAAAGACUGGGGAGAAAAGAACUGAGUGUUGUAAAGGAGACCCAUUAUUUCCACAGUUUAAGAGCAGGGGAAAGUAGGAUCCAUUUUUCAUCCUAUUGAAAAAUUAGCUUCAUCUCAACAAUAGUUUUAAUCUAGAAACGUCCAUGGCUUCAUAUUAGAAAGUAUUAUUAAGCAAGCAUGGGAGGCAACAGCCCAUUUACUGAAGGGCAAGAAGCCUUUCGAAAACCUCUCUCAUUACCCCCAAGUGGCUAUGCUGCCAGAAACUGACAGGGCACCAGAUUAGAGUGUGAUCACUCACAAUAUCCAACUCCUAGGUCCAGACUACUGCCUCUGUCGCUUCGUAUGAUGUUGAACAUUAUAGUAACACUGAUAGAACAACUGUUCAUCUCUAUUUGUCCAGGACAGGAGCACUUUAUGAUUUUUGUCAUGGCAUUAUUAUGUCCUGGCAAAACUUCAAGAAUGUCUCUCUCAAGAAUGUCAUAAUUUGGGCAAUACAUAAUAUUAUGAUCACCCUGUUUAUUGGUAAUCCACUUCAGCCACUUCUUUCAAAGAAAAGGGAAUCAAAACACAGAAAAGUAAAUGACAGAUGCCAGCUCACUAGGUGAGGUGAUAGUGCUAACUAACCUUUCCCCAGAGAGUCAUCCAUACUGUACUAAUAUCUCAAUUCACUGUUAUCUUCACGAUUACAGAUAUUUUGCUAACAUUACAUGUGUUUCCUCUAUACAGGCUGGAUUUUCCCCCUAUGGAAGUAUAAUUUACAUAUAACAAAGUAUGCAGAUCAUAAGUGUUUAGUUCCAUGAAUUUUAGCACUCCAAACAACAUAUAAAACAUUCCCAUCCAUCCUGAAAUUUCCACUGGGUCCCCUUCAGUUGGUUCUCCUACCUCAGAGGAAAAAUACAUUGAGAUUUUCAGACCCAUGGACUAUUUUGCCUAUUCUUGUGCUUCAUAAAAGAAAACAAAGUAAUCAUGCAGCUAAUGGGACGAAGAGGAAAAGGGUAAUCAUAGUAACAUAUACCUGUAAGAUUCUCCACGAGAAAAGACUGCCAAAGCCUUAUACCAGCUGGGAAUUUAUCCCAGGCCCACCUCCAAUAGCUUUCCUGACUCACCUAAAAGGGGAAAAAGUGCAACAGAUAAGGGUAGAGGUUCAAAGAAAAUAUUUUGGGAGUGCUACAACCAGAGAACAGAGUAGGAGCUAGAGGGAGAAAGAAAAAGAAAUACCACUGAAGAAACAUUUGUGAAGGUUACAUCCCCGAGACACAUGUCCACUGAAAAGCUCAGAUUUAGAUUAAGAAAUAUUCCCCUGGUGCCCUACUACCACACCAAGAAUUCCCGCAAGAUAAGAGAGUUUAAAACUGAAAGAGGCACAGGCCCUGAACUCUGUGCAGAGUACUCAGGGAAGCCCAAAGUCAAGAGGACACUAAAACGAGGAUGCUAGAAGAAGAGGAAGCUUCUGACACUGUAAAUAUUAAACCCAGCCCAAGGACUAGGUAGAUUAAUGCAAAUCCUCACACUGAGGCCUAUUUACCUCAGCCCCUAUAAUCCAAGGCAAUAUAUCUGGCUUUCAAGAAAGAAGAAGGCCAAAUAGAAUGAAAGACAACCCGAGUCUGAAGAGACAAGCGAGCUUUAGGGCCACACUCAAAACACAGAUGUCAAAACAUCGGAUGGAGAAUUGCAAAGAAAGAAAAGAAAACAACAUGCUACAACAAAUGGAAAACUCAUAGAGAUGAAAGCUGAGAAAGAAUCAAAAGGAAAUAGUGGAGCAGAAUAAUGGUUACCAGGGGUGGAGGCUGAGGUUGAGAUCGGUGAGAUACUGGUCAAAGUAUAUAAAAUUUCAGUUAAAUAAGAAGAGUAAGUUCAAGAGAUCUAUAUCUAUUGUACAACAUGGUGACUGUAGUUUAUAAUAAUGUAUUAUAUUAUUAAAAAUCACUAAGAAAAUCCCCAGUAUCAAAAAAUAUUCUCACCACAAAAAAUGAGGUAUUACAUAUUUCAAUUAGCAGACUUUAGCAAUGACACAAUAUAUACCUAUUUUUUAGUUUUUAAAUUACAAUUAGUAGCACAGGCAGUAUUAACUGGAAAAUGUAAUGGGUUUCUUUGUGACAUUGUCAUACUUGCAUAUUACAUUAUUUGGUCAUACCCAUCCUCUCUUGAUCCUCCUGGCCCUUUUCCUAUUACCAACUAGUCUCCCUUCUACUUUCAUGUCUUUUCUUCCCCCUAGAUUCCACAUAUGAGAAAACCCAUGUGAUCCAUGCCUUUCUGAGUCUGUUCUUAGUUACUUUUCUCUCAUUGUUAAGACAAAAUACCGGCAUCCAAAGUUAGAGGGGAAAAGGUUUUAUUUAGCUCACAAUUUGUAGCAGUUUCAGUCCAUAAUCGGCUGGCUCCAAGGCAGGGUGGCACAUGGCAGAGGAGCAACAGUUCAUGGCAGCAAAGACUGCAAAAGCAAGUAAGCAAUGGAACUUAACAGUGUCUUUCUGUCCUUUUAUCUUGCCCAGACUACAUAGGGCAGGUAGCACUCACAUCCUUAAUCAUAGUGCUCUUGAGCCUAGGAUUGCACCAUGAAUCAAUCACACACUUUAAAUUCGGCCACCUCUGAAAAAAUCCCACCUAAGAGGCUUUGGUGGGACAUCUAGAUACAAGCCAUAGCACAUGAUGAUCUCCAGUACCAUUCAUUUGCCUGCAAAUGAUAUGAUUUUGUUCUUCUUUGUGGGUGGGUAAUACUCCAUUGUAUAUAUUUACCACGUCUUUAUUCAUUCAUCCUUUUAUAGGCAGAUAUCCUGAUUCCAUAAUUUGGCAAUUGUGAAUAGCACCAUAAUAAACAUGGGUGUCACAUGAUCCUCACCAUAAGCCAAGCAGAUGCCAGCACCCUGUUCUUGGACUUCUAGAACUCGUUAACUUGAAAAGGGUAUAAUUGAUCAAGCCUAAAUCCCUUACAUCACCCAGGACCGUGUGAGAGGCUCAUACCCAGCAAGCCACUUGAGUUGGCCCAGGCAGACAGCAGUUGUCUUCAGCAUCUAACACCCAUGGGCCCAACAGCUUCAAAGCAAGUACACGUUUGACAUCCUUUGGUUAAGACUGUGGGGAAAACAUUGGCUCAUGGAAUAUAGAUGCUCAGCUGGCUCAUUUGGGUUUUGUGGUCCAGUUUGCGGAUGAGAUAUUUACAAAACCCGGUGAUUACAAUGCUGUCUCAUUAACAUUCGUUAAAUGAAAACCACAAAGUACAGGAUAGAAACACUAGCCUGAGAGGAGGGAGGAAGAUGAACAGGGAGACUGGCUUUCCUACCUCAGCAAAGGCAAAAAGAGACCAGGUGUAGUAGACUCUUGUUACUUCCUUUAAUUUAGACUUUCUCCUUACUGAAUGAGAAAGGGGUGGGAGAAGAAGGAGCAUAGCAUUUCUACUUGUCAGUUUUGUCUGAUUCCUAAGUAAAUCAAAUCUAAGUCAAGGCCAAGUUCAUUUCCCCACCAAUUUGAAUUUUCUACUCCUUGUACUAUGUAGCCAAGGAAACAUGUCCUCCAGGAUAUCUAGCUAUACUACAGUUAUUCCAUAAGAUCUGGCGAGCUCAUGAGGCCAUGUAGAUCAGACUGUUCUAGUGUUUUCAGAACCAAGUUGCUUCUGCGAACUUCUGAUUUCUGUCCCUGUUCCUAUGGGGAGGAGUUGGCUUCACGGAGAGAAUCAAAGCUAUACAGUCAGAAUCACUGGGCUCUGAUCCCAGUUAUGGCACAUACUGGUCCUAGAACCUUUGAUAAUAUCCACUUUGCAAGGAUAAUAUCCUAGAACCUCUGAUAAUAUACCACUUUACAGUGGUAGAGGCAGAGGAUAUUAUGUAAAUUACACAGAACCUAGCUAAUGAAUAAGGAAUCAAUGAAAGCAGCUAGUUAUUGUUAUUUUAUUGAUAUUGCUGACUUUUCUAGUCAAUCUCAAACUCACAUGUGAUUUAGACAAUGCAUUCUAUGUAGAACCAGCAAUAGGACUGUCCACACAGUAGGCAUUCUGUAAAGACUGAAUGCUACUAUAUCCAGAAAAAGAAUAUUUGAAAGUUAGGCUCCAUCUUUGAUGACUAAUCAAAUCUAGUGAUCAUGGCUAUAAUGUAUGCAUCAACUUUCCUUGAGGACUGCAAAUUUUUCGAGUGGCUCUUCCUUGUAAAUUAUAGAAAAAUCUGUAUCUCAGCAUUCUUUCUUUAUAACGCCCUACCCUACCCAAGUCCCUAUCACAGGCAGAUGCAUGCAUGCACAUAUGCACUAUGCAUACACACACAGAUUUUUUUCCAAGGGUCCUUACAGUCACUGAACAUACAGUUGAAAUUCUAGAUGAAAUGUAGAGCCCCAGAGGCAAAGACUGCUGGACUUUUAUCACAAUCAACCAAAAACUAGGAUUCAUAUUUGUAUCUUUUACCCACCGUUACAAAUUUGGGGACCAGAGGCAGAGGGUCAUCGGCUAGCAAGGACUAUUGUGAUCACACUGUCUUUUAUGUUUUACCUCUACUGACCAGAGCUACUAGCACAACUAACCCUCUGUAGGCCUAAUAACUGAAGCACCAGGAUGGAGCAGAAGACUGAGUCUGCCCUCCUGUGAGCUAAACAGAGGUUGGGGUGGAUGUUACCAAGGAGAAGAGAAUUUGUCAUCACUACUCAUCUGAAAGCAACUAAAUAGGAAGAGAUGAAAUUUUCAAGAUAAUAUCAUUAGCACUAUUGGAUGGAUUCUUGUACUGGAAAGAAACAGGCAUGGCCACCCUCCGGGGCUGGGUCCCUUCCUCAGAUCCAGGAAGCCAUUCCACCAAAAGGCUGAAAGGGAGGGGAAGUGAAUAUCACUGUGCUAGGCUGGGAGCCAUGAAGGCUUUAAAACUUGGCAAUUACACCUCCCUGAUUAUGAUGAGUAGAUCAUUAUAUGAUAGAGUAGAUCAUUAUACACAGACUCACAAUUUUCUUAAAGAUAGGAAAACAAAAUCCCUAUCCUAUUCAUUAAACCCUUCCUUAAGAAGAGUUCAGAGAAGUUUUUCACUCUUCAGAUUCAAAACCUUGAAGGUCUUUGUCACCUGAUGAUUUCUUCCUCACAGCUAGAAUAUCCUUAAAUUCCAAGUUCUAUAUCCCAAACAAGAACUUGUGGCUCCUAGGUUUGCCUCUCAGUUCUACUUCAUUCAACCUAAGUGCACAGAAAAUACCACAAACAUUGAGGUGCUUGUUAUUUUACCAGCCUCUUAGCAAAGACAGGGUCCUGAAAAGAGCAAGAACAGGACCAGAAGGCCUAGAAAGAUGGAGAGCUGAGUAUGCAAGUGAAAGAUGGAUCAGAGAGGAGAGAGAAUAGCAAACCAUGGGGAGCACCAACAUCAGUGCGGGGAUCUAGAUAGCUGACAGGUCUGGAAUAGGAACAGGGACAUCAGGGUGGAAACAGCACAGAUCUAAGACAAACUUGGCCCAUAUUCAUUCAUUCAUUCAUUC